This 1302-nucleotide long non-coding RNA is filed under the name Capra hircus (goat). RNAcentral describes it as "lncRNA (ENSCHIG00000004838.1)". The record is from RNAcentral. Lineage: Eukaryota; Metazoa; Chordata; Mammalia; Artiodactyla; Bovidae.
CCUCCUUCUUUUUCUCAGGAGGAGAAGGUCAUAAAUUCAUCUUCCAAAGCCCCUCAUUUGUGGAGGGAGUGACAUCAUCAGUAAGGAGACACCAGCAUAUUAAAUACAUCAUCCAACUGUCUCUGAUAAAGGAAAAUGAGACACCUUCCUGAGUCAUGAAUUUGGUGGUUUUCAGACCGCAGUAAAGUAUAAGCUGUGUUUGACCUGAGACGUCGCACUCCAUCACAGGCCAAGGACACAAGGGCUUAGGGCGAGACCCAGCCCCAGUUUACACCUGGAUUCCGAAUAUACCAGCCUUGGACUGGACUGAUGUGGCUCCUAGCAGCCCUCAGACUCUCCCAGGACUUUAGGAAGAAGGUAAAAGCAUAGAAGGACCACAGUGGGCACAGGUGAGCUUCCAGCUAUACGCCCCAGGACAGCAUCCAGGAGUGGGCAGGUCUUUCCCGUCGCAGACAGCCAGACAUGAGCCAGCCCUACAGGAGCACCCAGAGCUCAGAGGCAUCAAAACAGCCCUGUGCUUUGAGGAAUUGCCGCUGCUGAAUGCUUCUCCCUAUGGCUGCGGACCUGGAGCCUUUAUAAAGUGAGCGAGCACACCGUCCUGUCCAGUCUCAGCUGGGAAGCCAGCCAGCCAUGAGGCUCUGCUACCUUCUCUUUGUGCUGCUCUUCUUGUUCUUGCUGCCUGUUCCAGCUUAUGUACUUAAACAUCAUGAAGAAUGGGAGCAUCAUGAAAACAUCCACCAAGAAAGGGGAAAAGCAUCAACAGUAGAUAAAGAUCAGGAACAGUAGGGUUUGGGGAAUACUGUUUUUCCCCUUUGAUCUGGCCAAUCAAAGGGCCAAUCAGGUUUUUUUUCCAUUUCCCUCAUGUGCAAACCAGACUCACGGCGUGGUCCCCUCCAUGGAUGGACGCUUGUAGCGGAUGGUGCUCCCACUGGGACCCUGGUGUGCUGACCAUGGCGACUGCCCAGCUGCUGCAAGCCAGAUGAAGGUGCUUUCCCCUGGACGGGUGAGAUUCAUCUGCUAAGUGCUAUUGUAAAUUCACUUCUUUCCUUUCGCUUUGAUCCUUGAUCUGUACUAGCCUAAGUACUUUAAUAAAUUGGUUUCUGUUACCAACCUGUGGACUACAUCUUGAAUUCUUUAAAAGAACCACUGAAGCAAAGCAAAACGUUUUUGGCAUAGUCAGCAUGUUUCGAGAUGCUAUUGCUUUUCCAUGGGAAAGUUGAUCCUAUUCCAGGAUGGGAAGAUCCUUCUUUUAGCAGUUUAGCUCAGCAAUGAGAAAGGGAGCUGGACUAUGUGAAAAUUGGG